Molecule: ribosomal RNA, 253 nt
Filed under: uncultured Eubacteriales bacterium
Lineage: Bacteria; Bacillati; Bacillota; Clostridia; Eubacteriales
Description: uncultured Clostridiales bacterium partial 16S ribosomal RNA
Rfam family: Bacterial small subunit ribosomal RNA
Source: RNAcentral
UACGUAGGGGGCAAGCGUUGUCCGGAAUGACUGGGCGUAAAGGGAGUGUAGGCGGCUUAUCAAGUUAGAUGUGAAAUCCCGCGGCUUAACCGCGGAACUGCAUCUAAAACUGGUAAGCUGGAGUGCAGGAGAGGUGAGUGGAAUUCCUAGUGUAGCGGUGAAAUGCGUAGAUAUUAGGAGGAACACCGGCGGCGAAGGCGGCUUACUGGACUGUAACUGACGUUGAGGCUCGAAGGCGUGGGGAGCAAACAGG